AGAAUCAACGCUGGCGGCGUGCCUAACACAUGCAAGUCGCACGAGAAAGGGGCUUCGGCUCUGAGUAAAGUGGCGCACGGGUGAGUAACACGUGACUAAUCUACCCUCGAGUGGGGAAUAACUGAGAGAAAUCUCAGCUAAUACCGCAUAACACUUACGAGUCAAAGCAGCAAUGCGCUUGGGGAGGAGGUCGCGGCCGAUUAGCUAGUUGGCGGGGUAAUGGCCCACCAAGGCGAUGAUCGGUA
This 245-nucleotide ribosomal RNA is filed under the name uncultured bacterium. RNAcentral describes it as "partial small subunit ribosomal RNA". It matches the Rfam family "Bacterial small subunit ribosomal RNA", at positions 26 to 285 of the family's 1533-position model. The record is from RNAcentral.